GUUAAGCGACUAAGCGUACACGGUGGAUGCCCUGGCAGUCAGAGGCGAUGAAGGACGUGCUAAUCUGCGAAAAGCGUCGGUAAGGUGAUAUGAACCGUUACAGCCGGCGAUGUCCGAAUGGGGAAACCCAGUGCAAUUCGUUGCACUAUCGUUAACUGAAUACAUAGGUUAACGAGGCGAACCGGGGGAACUGAAACAUCUAAGUACCCCGAGGAAAAGAAAUCAACCGAGAUUCCCCCAGUAGCGGCGAGCGAACGGGGAGCAGCCCAGAGUCUGAAUCAGCUUGUGUGUUAGUGGAACGGUCUGGAAAGUCCGACGGUACAGGGUGAUAGUCCCGUACACCAAAAUGCACAGGUUGUGAACUCGAAGAGUAGGGCGGGACACGUGGUAUCCUGUCUGAAUAUGGGGGGACCAUCCUCCAAGGCUAAAUACUCCUAUUUGACCGAUAGUGAACCAGUACCGUGAGGGAAAGGCGAAAAGAACCCCUGUGAGGGGAGUGAAAUAGAACCUGAAACCGUAUACGUACAAGCAGUGGGAGCCUUUAGGGGUGACUGCGUACCUUUUGUAUAAUGGGUCAGCGACUUAUAUUUAGUAGCAAGGUUAACCAUGUAGGGGAGCCGUAGCGAAAGCGAGUGUUAACUGCGCGUCUAGUUGCUAGGUAUAGACCCGAAACCCGGUGAUCUAGCCAUGGGCAGGUUGAAGGUUGAGUAACAUCAACUGGAGGACCGAACCCACUAACUUUGAAAAGUUAGGGGAUGACUUGUGGCUGGGGGUGAAAGGCCAAUCAAACCGGGAGAUAGCUGGUUCUCCCCGAAAUCUAUUUAGGUAGAGCCUCGGACGAAUUCCAUUGGGGGUAGAGCACUGUUAAGGCUAGGGGGUCAUCCCGACUUACCAACCCGAUGCAAACUACGAAUACCGAAGAAUGUUAUCACGGGAGACACACGGCGGGUGCUAACGUCCGUCGUGAAGAGGGAAACAACCCAGACCGCCAGCUAAGGUCCCAAAGUCACAGUUAAGUGGGAAACGAUGUGGGAAGGCCCAGACAGCUAGGAGGUUGGCUUAGAAGCAGCCACCCUUUAAAGAAAGCGUAAUAGCUCACUAGUCGAGUCGGCCUGCGCGGAAGAUGUAACGGGGCUAAACUGUGCACCGAAGCUGCGGCAGCGACACUAUGUGUUGUUGGGUAGGGGAGCGUUCUGUAAGCCGCUGAAGCUGGACUGUGAAGUCUGGUGGAGGUAUCAGAAGUGCGAAUGCUGACAUAAGUAACGAUAAUGCGGGUGAAAAGCCCGCACGCCGGAAGACCAAGGGUUCCUGUCCAACGUUAAUCGGGGCAGGGUGAGUCGACCCCUAAGGCGAGGCCGAAAGGCGUAGUCGAUGGGAAACAGGUUAAUAUUCCUGUACCCGUGAGAAGUGACGGCCUCUGGAAGUAGUUUUUCCUUAUUGGAUUGGAGAAGCUGCCAAGGAGGUCCAGGAAAUAACUCUCACAUAUGGACCGUACCCCAAACCGACACAGGUGGUCAGGUAGAGAAUACCAAGGCGCUUGAGAGAACUCGGGUGAAGGAACUAGGCAAAAUGGUGCCGUAACUUCGGGAGAAGGCACGCUGAUAUGUAGGUGAAGCCCCUGCGGGUGGAGCUGAAAUCAGUCGAAGAUACCAGCUGGCUGCAACUGUUUAUUAAAAACACAGCACUCUGCAAACUCGAAAGAGGACGUAUAGGGUGUGACACCUGCCCGGUGCCGGAAGGUUAAUUGAUGGGGUUAGCGUAAGCGAAGCUCUUGAUCGAAGCCCCGGUAAACGGCGGCCGUAACAAUAACGGUCCUAAGGUAGCGAAAUUCCUUGUCGGGUAAGUUCCGACCUGCACGAAUGGUGUAACCAUGGCCACGCUGUCUCUACCCGAGACUCAGUGAAAUUGAAAUCGCAGUGAAGAUGCUGUGUACCCGCACCUAGACGGAAAGACCCCGUGAACCUUUACUACAGCUUGGCACUGAACAUUGAACCUACUUGUGUAGGAUAGGUGGGAGGCUUCGAAGCAGAGACGCUAGUUUCUGUGGAGCCGUCCUUGAAAUACCACCCUGGUAUGUUUGAUGUUCUAACGUAGGUCCCUAAUCGGGAUUGCGGACAGUGUCUGGUGGGUAGUUUGACUGGGGCGGUCUCCUCCCAAAGAGUAACGGAGGAGCACGAAGGUUAGCUAAUCACGGUCGGACAUCGUGAGGUUAGUGCAAUGGCAUAAGCUAGCUUAACUGCGAGACAGACACGUCGAGCAGGUACGAAAGUAGGUCAUAGUGAUCCGGUGGUUCUGUAUGGAAGGGCCAUCGCUCAACGGAUAAAAGGUACUCCGGGGAUAACAGGCUGAUACCGCCCAAGAGUUCAUAUCGACGGCGGUGUUUGGCACCUCGAUGUCGGCUCAUCACAUCCUGGGGCUGAAGUAGGUCCCAAGGGUAUGGCUGUUCGCCAUUUAAAGUGGUACGCGAGCUGGGUUUAGAACGUCGUGAGACAGUUCGGUCCCUAUCUGCCGUGGGCGCAAGAGACUUGAGAGGAGCUGCCCCUAGUACGAGAGGACCGGGGUGGACGGACCUCUGGUGGACCUGUUGUGGCGCCAGCCGCAUUGCAGGGUAGCUAUGUCCGGACGGGAUAACCGCUGAAAGCAUCUAAGCGGGAAGCCCCCCUCAAGAUUAGGUCUCUCUGAGAGCCGUGGAAGACCACCACGUUGAUAGGUCAGGUGUGGAAGUGUGGUAACACAUGAAGCUAACUGAUACUAAUUGCUCGAGG
This 2765-nucleotide ribosomal RNA is filed under the name Cafeteria roenbergensis. RNAcentral's name for it is "partial Bacterial large subunit ribosomal RNA". It matches the Rfam family "Bacterial large subunit ribosomal RNA". Lineage: Eukaryota; Bigyra; Bicosoecida; Cafeteriaceae. The record is from RNAcentral.